This 2880-nucleotide ribosomal RNA is filed under the name synthetic metagenome. RNAcentral describes it as "bacterial LSU rRNA". It matches the Rfam family "Bacterial large subunit ribosomal RNA". The record is from RNAcentral.
AGUGCAUGUGGUGGAUGCCUUGGCAGUCAGAGGCGAUGAAAGACGUGAUAGCCUGCGAAAAGCUCCGGGGAGGCGGCAAAUAUCCUUUGAUCCGGAGAUGUCUGAAUGGGGGAACCCACCUACUUUAAGGUAGGUAUUGCAACAUGAAUACAUAGUGUUGCAAGGCGAACGAGGGGAAGUGAAACAUCUCAGUACCCUUAGGAAAAGAAAUCAAUUGAGAUUCCCUCAGUAGCGGCGAGCGAACGGGGAUCAGCCCAUUAAGUUAUGUGUGUUUUAGUGGAACGCUCUGGGAAGUGCGAACGUAGAGGGUGAUAUUCCCGUACACGAAAGGGCACACAUAAUGAUGACGAGUAGGGCGAGGCACGUGAAACCUUGUCUGAAUAUGGGGGGACCAUCCUCCAAGGCUAAAUACUCCUGACUGACCGAUAGUGAACCAGUACCGUGAGGGAAAGGCGAAAAGAACCCCUGUGAGGGGAGUGAAAUAGAUCCUGAAACCGCAUGCAUACAAGCAGUGGGAGCACCUUCGUGGUGUGACUGCGUACCUUUUGUAUAAUGGGUCAGCGACUUAUAUUCAGUAGCGAGGUUAACCGUAUAGGGGAGCCGUAGAGAAAUCGAGUCUUAAUAGGGCGUUUAGUUGCUGGGUAUAGACCCGAAACCAGGCGAUCUAUCCAUGAGCAGGUUGAAGGUUGGGUAACACUAACUGGAGGACCGAACCCACUGUCGUUGAAAAGCCAGGGGAUGACUUGUGGAUAGGGGUGAAAGGCUAAUCAAGCCUGGUGAUAGCUGGUUCUCCCCGAAAGCUAUUUAGGUAGCGCCUCGGACGAAUACCAUAGGGGGUAGAGCACUGUUUCGGCUAGGGGGUCAUCCCGACUUACCAAACCGAUGCAAACUCCGAAUACCCAGAAGUGCCGAGCAUGGGAGACACACGGCGGGUGCUAACGUCCGUCGUGAAAAGGGAAACAACCCAGACCGCCAGCUAAGGUCCCAAAGUUGUGGUUAAGUGGUAAACGAUGUGGGAAGGCUUAGACAGCUAGGAGGUUGGCUUAGAAGCAGCCACCCUUUAAAGAAAGCGUAAUAGCUCACUAGUCGAGUCGGCCUGCGCGGAAGAUGUAACGGGGCUAAAACUAUGUGCCGAAGCUGCGGAUGUAUACUUUGUAUACGUGGUAGGGGAGCGUUCUGUAAGCCGAUGAAGGUGUGUUGAGAAGCAUGCUGGAGGUAUCAGAAGUGCGAAUGCUGACGUGAGUAACGACAAAACGGGUGAAAAACCCGUUCGCCGAAAGACCAAGGGUUCCAGUCCAACGUUAAUCGGGGCUGGGUGAGUCGACCCCUAAGGCGAGGCCGAAAGGCGUAGUCGAUGGGAAAAUGGUUAAUAUUCCAUUACUUCUGUGUAAUGCGAUGAGAGGACGGAGAAGGCUAAAUCAGCCUGGCGUUGGUUGUCCAGGUGAAAGGAUGUAGGCAUGUAUCUUAGGCAAAUCCGGGGUACUCUAUGCUGAGAUCUGAUAGCAAGCUGUACUUGUACAGCGAAGUGGUUGAUGCCAUGCUUCCAGGAAAAGUCUCUAAGCUUCAGUUACACAGGAAUCGUACCCGAAACCGACACAGGUGGUCAGGUCGAGUAGACCAAGGCGCUUGAGAGAACUCUGCUGAAGGAACUAGGCAAAAUGGUACCGUAACUUCGGGAGAAGGUACGCUGUUGUUGGUGAUGGAACUCGCUUCCUGAGCUGACGACAGCCGCAGAAACCAGGCCGCUGCAACUGUUUAUUAAAAACAUAGCACUCUGCAAACACGAAAGUGGACGUAUAGGGUGUGAUGCCUGCCCGGUGCUGGAAGGUUAAUUGAUGGGGUUAGCGUAAGCGAAGCUCUUGAUCGAAGCCCCAGUAAACGGCGGCCGUAACUAUAACGGUCCUAAGGUAGCGAAAUUCCUUGUCGGGUAAGUUCCGACCUGCACGAAUGGCAUAAUGAUGGCGGCGCUGUCUCCAGCAGAGGCUCAGUGAAAUCGAAAUCGCUGUGAAGAUGCAGUGUACCCGCGGCUAGACGGAAAGACCCCGUGAACCUUUACUGCAGCUUGACACUGAACUUUGACCUUACUUGUGUAGGAUAGGUGGGAGGCUUUGAAGCUGGAACGCUAGUUCCAGUGGAGCCGUCCUUGAAAUACCACCCUGGUAAUGUUGAGGUUCUAACUCUGUCCCGUGAUCCGGGACGAGGACCGUGUCUGGUGGGUAGUUUGACUGGGGCGGUCUCCUCCUAAAGAGUAACGGAGGAGUACGAAGGUGCGCUCAGACCGGUCGGAAAUCGGUCGCAGAGUAUAAAGGCAAAAGCGCGCUUGACUGCGAGACAGACACGUCGAGCAGGUACGAAAGUAGGGCUUAGUGAUCCGGUGGUUCUGUAUGGAAGGGCCAUCGCUCAACGGAUAAAAGGUACUCCGGGGAUAACAGGCUGAUACCGCCCAAGAGUUCAUAUCGACGGCGGUGUUUGGCACCUCGAUGUCGGCUCAUCUCAUCCUGGGGCUGAAGCAGGUCCCAAGGGUAUGGCUGUUCGCCAUUUAAAGAGGUACGCGAGCUGGGUUUAGAACGUCGUGAGACAGUUCGGUCCCUAUCUACCGUGGGCGCUGGAAAUUUGAGAGGAUCUGCUCCUAGUACGAGAGGACCAGAGUGGACGAACCUCUGGUGUACCGGUUGUGACGCCAGUCGCAUCGCCGGGUAGCUAUGUUCGGAAGGGAUAACCGCUGAAAGCAUCUAAGCGGGAAGCCUACCUCAAGAUAAGAUUUCCCUAGGACUUUAUGUCCUCUAAAGAGCCGUUCGAGACUAGGACGUUGAUAGGUUGGAUGUGGAAGCAUAGUGAUAUGUGAAGCUGACCAAUACUAAUUGCUCGUGAGGCUUGACU